This 253-nucleotide ribosomal RNA is filed under the name uncultured bacterium. Its description in RNAcentral is "partial 16S ribosomal RNA". It matches the Rfam family "Bacterial small subunit ribosomal RNA", at positions 524 to 776 of the family's 1533-position model. The record is from RNAcentral.
UACGUAGGGGGCAAGCGUUGUCCGGAUUUAUUGGGCGUAAAGAGCGUGUAGGCGGCCAGUUAGGUCCGUUGUGAAAACUCGAGGCUCAACCUCGAGACGCCGAUGGAAACCAACUGGCUAGAGUCCGGAAGAGGAGAGUGGAAUUCCCGGUGUAGCGGUGAAAUGCGUAGAUAUCGGAAGGAACAUCAGUGGCGAAAGCGACUUCCUGGACCAGUACCGACGUUCAGGCACGAAAGCGUGGGGAGCAAACAGG